UGAUAUUGGGCUAUGUAAAUAAAAUUCAACUGAAACGUAUCGUGAGACAAAUAUCACAAUAUGUAUCGUAUCGUCAAACUCUUGCUAAUUCACACCCCUAUAAUACACAGGUUUGUGUUUAAUCUUGUUUUCAGUCACUCCGGUGGUUCAGAUGUUAAAUCUGCACUUUCCAUCUGUGAGGUUUAGAAGUCAGUGAAGGUCCCGGCGGUGGAGAAGGCCUCAGAGGGAGAUCAUCGACGUGCAGAAGAAGCUGAAGAGCUUCUUUAUGAACAGAGUUAGAACUAGGAUACAGUUCAAUAAUGACAGAUUUUAGUUCAGGUACAAAGAUUUUGCAAAAAUAUUUUUUUUUUUUUGAAAGAGGAUGAUGAUAUAAGGACACGUAUGAAUUCAGGAUUUUGGAACUCCCUUUUAUUAAUUAUAUUUUCAGCUUUGCUAUACAAGCAAAUGCAAAGUUUAUCCAGUAAAGUGAUGAGUUUUUGUUUGAAGGCAUUUUUGUAAAAUGUGUUUCUAUUGGGCUAUUUAAAGUUGCACCUUUAAAAAUGUAAAUCCUAAAUGAUGCAGAACUUGCGUCACAGCCGGUUUGUUGUGCUGUAGAUACGUGGAGUUCAACCUGGUGUACGACAGGGGGGUGAAGUUCGGCCUGGCCACCCCCGGCUCCAGAAUCGAGAGCAUCCUCAUGUCCCUCCCCCUCACUGCCAGGUGGGAGUACAUGCACGAGCCUGCCAAAGGGACCAGGGAAGCAGAAAUGCUGGAGGUGUUGCGAAACCCCAAAGAGUGGGUGUGACUUCACCUGUCAGGAUGACAUUUCCAGGAAAUCUUUCUUUGUUUCUUUUUAAGCUGUGACACGUCUGAUCUUAAUAGGAGACUGCAUUUAUAACAGUUGCACACUAUCAGUUUUUGUAAUACAGGUUUUACUUCUUCUCCAACGUUUUGGUCUGUUUUUUUUAAGUGUGCUGAAACCUUAGCUCACUUUGAACUAAAGGAGCCUUUGUGCCAUCACUGACUGGUCAGUUAGGCAGCUUUGUUGAAUCCUUCCUUCCUGCUUGUUUUUCUCCUUUUAUAAACCUGGAAUGAAUGCCGUUCGUUUUACUUGAACCCGAGUACACUUUCUGUCUUCCUCACUUCACCAAUGAAGCACAGAAAAAGGGAAACACAGUUUUUGUGAGUCUCUACUGUUUUCAAAUGUCAAUAAAAGACUCGUGUGUGCACUGAAAACAAGGAAUUAUUGCUGACAAAUACAAAGUAAUUGAGUCUUGA
Long non-coding RNA from Oryzias melastigma (Indian medaka), 1257 nucleotides. RefSeq lists it as uncharacterized. Lineage: Eukaryota; Metazoa; Chordata; Actinopteri; Beloniformes; Adrianichthyidae. The transcript is spliced from 2 exons. The record is from RefSeq and is a predicted model, not a curated record.